AGUGAACGCUGGCGGUAGGCCUAACACAUGCAAGUCGAACGGCAGCACAGUAAGAGCUUGCUCUUACGGGUGGCGAGUGGCGGACGGGUGAGGAAUACAUCGGAAUCUACUUUUUCGUGGGGGAUAACGUAGGGAAACUUACGCUAAUACCGCAUACAACCUACGGGUGAAAGCAGGGGAUCUUCGGACCUUGCGCGAUUGAAUGAGCCGAUGUCGGAUUAGCUAGUUGGCGGGGUAACGGCCCACCAAGGCGACGAUCCGUAGCGGGUCUGAGAGGAUGAUCAGCCACACUGGAACUGAGACACGGUCCAGACUCCUACGGGAGGCAGCAGUGGGGAAUCUUGGACAAUGGGCGCAAGCCUGAUCCAGCCAUACCGCGUGGGUGAAGAAGGCCUUCGGGUUGUAAAGCCCUUUUGUUGGGAAAGAAAAGCAGCAGGUUAAUACCCCGCUGUUCUGACGGUACCCAACGAAUAAGCCCCGGCUAACUUCGUG
RNAcentral lists this ribosomal RNA (492 nucleotides) under uncultured bacterium. RNAcentral's name for it is "partial 16S ribosomal RNA". It matches the Rfam family "Bacterial small subunit ribosomal RNA", at positions 29 to 507 of the family's 1533-position model. The record is from RNAcentral.